AAGCUUCCUUCCUUUUGCACCAAGGAGCAGGGGCUUUUCCUAAUGCUUGGUGACGCUAUUGAGAGAUAACCACUAUCAUCUGUUGUAUCUACUCCGUAUGGAAAGCCACACACUUUGCUGCCAUCCCUGAUCUCAGGAGACGUUCCCAGCAGCCCUUUAGGUAGGGCACAGACACACACACACACCCACAUUUUACAGGUGAUGGAGGGAGGCUCAAAGUGGGCUCCAAGGUCUAUGAUCCCACCUACUACACUGAGGGAUUGAAAAUAGCCUAAAUGCUUGAUAAGCUUAUUCUUGAAAUACACUGAAAAGGAAACACAGUUCUAGCACUUGGAUUCCUCAGUGCACCUAGAUUUAGCCUCUAGGGGAUAAUCAGAAAAACUUCUGCAGCCUCUAACACAUCCUAUAAUAGCCAUGAUCCCAUUGAUCAAGCUGCCAUUAGGUGUCAGAUGCUGUGCAGAGCCCUUUUCAUUUAUCAGCUCAUUGGUUUCUCCCAGACAUCCUCUAAGCGAGGCAUUCCAAGGAGCCCCAUUUUGAGGAUGGGGAAACUGAGACUCUGGGAGGAAUUUCUGGAGGUCAUGCUCAAGAAUUGGGAACGGCAAAUGAGUUUUGGCUUCUUCAUCAAGAUGAAUUGAUUCCUAAUGGCCACUUGGAAGCACAGCGUUGAGAAGGAUUUGCUCAGUGGGAAAGACUGUCCGCCAUCGAUUGGUGCUGUCUGCCAUCCUGUUCGUUUCGUGCUGUCUGUCUUGCGUGCAGGAUUAGCAGUCGUGGUGCAAGCGCUGAGAUUAUCUGCUGAGUUUUGUCUGGAACUUAACAACAACAAGUCCGUGUUCGUUAAAAUAAAAAAUUAAGCUAAUGUUUUUGAUGGUUCAAAUUUUACAUUUGAAAAAUACAAUAGGAUUCCAUAAAGAUUUAUUUUUUUGAAAGGAAUACUGUGAAAAGUCUGUCUUACUUCUGACUUCUUGACAUCCAGAAAUACCCUUCGCCCUAAGGCUGUGUUUACCUCUCAGCCUCAGUUUUCACGUCUUUAAAAUGGGAGCUAAGAAGAGAACCCAGAAGACCUAGUCCAUGCCUGCAAAUCAUUUAGAAUCUGUAACCUUCAGCAGUCAAUUCGUAUCUAUUACCAUUGCUGUCCACGUCUCUCUCCUCCUCCCUGACGAAAGAACCGAGGCUGAACAAAUGUUUCUCAGAUGGGGCCACCCCACCCCCCUCCACCUCCACCAGCAGGGAGGAGCUGACACAGGAAGAACACAGGAAUGGUUACACGGCUCUGAAGUUCAUCACCUUUUGCUGACCAGUCACAGCAACUCCCUGCAAAGAGGCUGCUUCAUCUCCAGACCUGACUUUGUAUUUCCCGGGUGAUCAUGGGAAAAUCACUGCACAUCUCUGAGCCUCAGUUUGUUCAUCUUCGAUAUGGGAACAUCAGCUCCCGCGCUGCAAGGACUCAGCAAGGAUUCCAUGAGACAGUAUGCAAACUCGCUAGCCCAAGUCUGUGGCUAGGGCUAGCUUUUAGUUUUUGAGUUGGUGUUUUGUUUUCUUAACUGGGGUAUUGUUGCUUUUCAGUGUUGUGUUAAUUUCUGCUGUACAAAGAAGUGAAUCAGCUAUAUGUACACAUAUAUCCCCUCCCUUUCGGACCUUGCUCCCAUCUAAACUGACAUUUCUCCAAAGAAGACAUUUAAGAGGCACAUGAAAAGAUGCUCAACUUCACUAAUUAUUAGAGAAAGGCAGAUCAAAACUACAAUGAGGUAUCACCUCACACCAGUCAGAGUGAGCCAUCAUCAAAAUAUCUACAAACAAGAGCUUUUAGCUUUUGAUUCCAUUUCCGCAAACACAGUCUUGAAACACUGCUUGUCUAGAGCAGCCUAUAGAGACCUUUUCUCACCCGUGUUCCUGUUUAAUUGCAGGCGAGUUUUUGCUCCCCUUAUAACUGAGUCUAGAAGAGAGGAAAUGUUUUGCCCAAGGUCACACAGUGGCUACAGGCAGCUCUGUGGUUUGAAUCCCCAAACCAAACUUUCUGACCCUCAUCUCAGAUUUUCUACCUUGAGUUGUCCCACCUUCUACCCACUGGCUAGUUCUAGAACUUGCAAAUCCACGCAUCUCAAAACUGUUACAUAGCCCUCCAACCCAACCCCAGACAGACUUCUUUAAAACUUAUUUCCACUCAAGCUUCAUACAUCCUACUUUUCUCCUCACUCCCAUCCCUAUCUUGGGGGGAAUCUAACUCUUUGAACUAGGGGUGGGUAGGGGGUAAGAAGAA
Molecule: long non-coding RNA, 2257 nt
Organism: Bos taurus (domestic cattle)
Lineage: Eukaryota; Metazoa; Chordata; Mammalia; Artiodactyla; Bovidae
Source: Ensembl